CCUUCUUCUACUAUUCCCUCACAUCCGGAGCUCGAAGAAGGGACUGCCCACCCACCGAGCUCGGGGCACAGGCGCUGGGCUUGCUUCGAUCUCCUCCUUGUCCCGGGGGCUCUUUUCAAAAACCUCUUGCCCCAGCCCCAACGCGGUCAUCGUCUCUUCCCGGGAUUGACCAACAAGCCUUCUUUGCACAAGGUGAGAAAGAAACAUUUUCAUCACAAAGUUGCACAGAUGCCACUCCAGCCCCAUCUUGACCAUCAUAGUAUCUCUCAUCUUUCAACUUACAUGGCCGCUUUCUCUCUUGCACCAUGCGGAAUGAAACUGGUCUCCAUAUCCCUAGACGGGAAAUGCUUGGGUCCACAUAGUAGCAGGGCCCAGGACUCUCCGUGAUCGAGAUCACUUGCAAAGGAAAGAAGAAUUGUCUGCAUGAGGCAUGGUGUGGAUUCUGAGCUAUUUAGCUUGGUUGCAAUGACUGACUUCCUGUCCAAUAUCAAUUAAAGGCACCCACUAGCUAGAUAGCAGUGAAUAUGUUAAGCUCCGCCCCCCUGCACCUCCAUUCCUGUUAUCCUUCAACAUGGCUUAAGUGUAGAUCAUCCUCUUCCCACUAAGGUCCGCAGCUGUACAACUGAGAACCCUGAUUUUGGUGCAGCCAUAAUUUUACUAUGAAGCGCCCUAAAUCAGCAGUAUAAGACCCUCCAGCCCUUGCUGGACUACAACUCCUAUCAUUCUUGACCAUGCUGACUGGGGCUGAUGGGAGUUGUAGUCAAGAAGCAACUACAUUAGCCACCUACAUGCAGUGUCAUUGAUCCAGUUGGAAUGGAAACUUUGGAAAGCCACCCAGCUCUUGAUCAUGGAUCACCUAGGUCCCAUCAACUGUGGCCCCGAUAAUUAGAGAGUCCCAAAAACACAGGUUGUCAAUCUCUGUUCAAAUGUUUUGCCAGCAGAUUUAACAGUUGUUUAGCCAGCUUCACCCUGUGGGUCAGUUAAUGCUGUUGGGAAAACCCAAAUAACACAGAACCCAACUUGUCAGCAUCUUACAUCUUUCACUGGAUUUCACACGCAUUGUGUAGGCUGGCUCAGCAUACUUGGUGAAGUCAUGGUCCUUAAUGCCAGUGAGAGGCUGCCUACCAUACUUCCCAGGUCCUGGCCCUGCAAGAGAACCACAAGGGGGGAGGGGGAUAAAAUAAUGGGAAGACAACCCGGAACCAUUAGCAUUUGCAGAUUAUGAGCUGCCACACUGGGUAAUAGUAAAAGGACAAAAUGGAAUAAUAUAUUGUGUUGAAUAAUAUAUUGAAUAAUAUAUUGGGUUGUGGAGCUACAGCUCUCCAGGUGUUGCUGCACUGCAACUCCCAUCAUCUCUGACCAUUGAACCAGACUGGCUGGGGCUGAUGGAAGUCCCACAACAUACUUUUCUUCUCCCUCUGGUAAAAUCUCGCUAGCCUUGGGCCAGGAUAUUUGCAUUGCAAUAGGAAGUGAGCAUUACAAGGCACCUGAAUUCUUCUGUGGCUCGGACUAUAAUUCAAGCCAGAGAAGAUUUCCCAUUUUACUCAACUACCUAUGCUCUGCCUGUAAUCUCCCAACCCCCUUCCUUCAUCCCCUUUAAACAAGCGUUACCCUGGUAGGACAACAGCAGUGGUGACAUACCAGCCACAGGAAAAGGAAAACAAAAGGGGAAAAAUUAUUAUUAUUAUUCUGACUCCCUCCUUUGGCAAUCUUCACAGAACUCUAGCCCAAUGGUUUCCAUCAAUUUGAUUUGAAUUAAUUUUAUAAUGAAUUAUUUUAGAAUGUUGUAUUAUUUUAUUGUUGUUAGCUGCCCUGAGCCCAGCUUCGGCUGGGGAGGGCGGGAUAUAAAUAAAAUUUAUUAUUUAUUAUUA
Long non-coding RNA from Podarcis raffonei (Aeolian wall lizard), 1871 nucleotides. RefSeq lists it as uncharacterized. NCBI's taxonomy places the organism in Eukaryota, Metazoa, Chordata, Lepidosauria, Squamata, Lacertidae. The transcript has 2 exons. The record is from RefSeq and is a predicted model, not a curated record.